RNAcentral lists this unclassified non-coding RNA (430 nucleotides) under Hevea brasiliensis (rubber tree). The record is from RNAcentral. Lineage: Eukaryota; Viridiplantae; Streptophyta; Magnoliopsida; Malpighiales; Euphorbiaceae.
UAUCAAUCGCUUAUUUUCUCUCAGCAGCUCUUCACCUCAUCACCAGUGACGCCCUUUUCAAGCUGUAAUUGUCUUGAUCUGUUUCUCGCACUUCCGAGUCCCCUCGUAUUAUCGACCGAGUUGACUCGACUUUACUCUUCGCUUUUCUUAAAUUCUCUCUCUUUGAGCUUGAAGCUUGAAUCUCCGCCAUGAAUGAUGGCAUGGAUCGGACUCGCGCUUUUUUCAAAGACGUUAAGCGUCUUGUCAUCAAGGUUGGGACUGCUGUUGUGACUAGAAGCGAUGGGAGAUUGGCCCUUGGGAAACUAGGAGCUCUUUGUGAGCAGAUUAAAGAGUUGAACUCUGAAGGUUAUGAAGUUAUUUUGGUGUCAUCAGGUGCCGUUGGCAUUGGUCGCCAGAGGCUAAGAUACCGGAAAUUAGUCAAUAGCAGCUU